RNAcentral lists this unclassified non-coding RNA (388 nucleotides) under Hevea brasiliensis (rubber tree). Lineage: Eukaryota; Viridiplantae; Streptophyta; Magnoliopsida; Malpighiales; Euphorbiaceae. The record is from RNAcentral.
UGUCCUAUAACUGUAACCAAUGGCAGGCAACUCCUCAAGGCCGAUUCUGGUGACCCUUCUCCUUUUCUCCAUGGCACUGUCUCUGCUGUCAUCUUGUUAUGCAGCUCGAGAUGCCCCACCAUAUCAUGUCAAGGAUCCAGGUGUUGGUGAAUCAAGGCUCAUAUGUCCUGCCUGUGUUUGUUGCAAACCUCCACCGCCAGGCUCCUGCUGCAAGUGUUGUGCUGCUCCUAUUGUAACCCAGCCCAACAAGGGCUCUCCAUGAGACAUGUUUAAAUUUUGAGAGCUCUCAGGCCCAUUAGUAAAAUAAAGAGAGUGUCUCAAUUAAUUAUAUAUAUAAUGGGACUAAAUAUUGUAAAAUGAGUAUGGUCAAGACAAAUUGAUCCAUAAU